Molecule: small nuclear RNA, 107 nt
Organism: Suncus etruscus (white-toothed pygmy shrew)
Lineage: Eukaryota; Metazoa; Chordata; Mammalia; Eulipotyphla; Soricidae
Source: RefSeq, a predicted model, not a curated record
GUGAUCAUUUUGACAGCACAUAUACUAAAAUUGAAAUGAUAUAGAGAACUCUUGCUUGGCCCCUGUGAAAGGAUGACACAUAAAUUUGUGAAGCAUUCUAUAUUUUA